Etheostoma spectabile (orangethroat darter) is the source of this 113-nucleotide long non-coding RNA. RefSeq lists it as uncharacterized. The record is from RefSeq and is a predicted model, not a curated record. NCBI's taxonomy places the organism in Eukaryota, Metazoa, Chordata, Actinopteri, Perciformes, Percidae. The transcript has 4 exons.
GGAGAAAGAGGAGGGAGAGAAAAAAAGGAGACGGUCGCUGUUCGGAGGAUGAUGAACCGGUUGAGAUUGUAUGCGUGUGUCCUCGAGAUCUGAACACACACAAACCACACACA